This 447-nucleotide ribosomal RNA is filed under the name uncultured bacterium. RNAcentral describes it as "partial 16S ribosomal RNA". It matches the Rfam family "Bacterial small subunit ribosomal RNA", at positions 29 to 523 of the family's 1533-position model. The record is from RNAcentral.
AACGAACGCUGGCGGCAGGCUUAACACAUGCAAGUCGAACGCACCGCAAGGUGAGUGGCAGACGGGUGAGUAACGCGUGGGAACCUUCCUUUUAGUAAAGAAUAGCCCAGGGAAACUUGGAUUAAUACUUUAUACGCCCUACGGGGGAAAGAUUUAUCGCUAAAAGAUGGGCCCGCGUUGGAUUAGCUAGCUGGUGAGGUAAUGGCUCACCAAGGCUACGAUCUAAAGCUGAUCUGAGAGGAUGAUCAGCCACACUGGAACUGAGACACGGUCCAGACUCCUACGGGAGGCAGCAGUGGGGAAUAUUGGACAAUGGGCGCAAGCCUGAUCCAGCCAUGCCGCGUGAAUGACGAAGGCCUUCGGGUUGUAAAGUUCUUUAGCAGGGGAAAAUCAUGAUGGUACCCUGAAAAUAAGCUCCGGCUAACUUCGUGCCAGCAGCCGCGGUAA